This 72-nucleotide transfer RNA is filed under the name Camelus bactrianus (Bactrian camel). It matches the Rfam family "tRNA". Rfam says of the family: Transfer RNA (tRNA) molecules are approximately 80 nucleotides in length. Their secondary structure includes four short double-helical elements and three loops (D, anti-codon, and T loops). RNAcentral also lists the same sequence under 2 other names. The record is from Rfam by way of RNAcentral. Lineage: Eukaryota; Metazoa; Chordata; Mammalia; Artiodactyla; Camelidae.
GUGGGUGUAGCUCAGUGGUAGAGCACAUGCUCAGUAUACAUGAGGUUCUGGGUUCAAUCUCCAGUACCUCCA